GACGAACGCUGGCGGCGUGCUUAACACAUGCAAGUCGAACGGAAAGGCCCUGCUUUUGUGGGGUGCUCGAGUGGCGAACGGGUGAGUAACACGUGAGUAACCUGCCCUUGCCUUUGGGAUAACUUCAGGAAACUGGGGCUAAUACCGGAUAGGAGCUCCUGCUGCAUGGUGGGGGUUGGAAAGUUUCGGCGGUUGGGGAUGGACUCGCGGCUUAUCAGCUUGUUGGUGGGGUAGUGGCUUACCAAGGCUUUGACGGGUAGCCGGCCUGAGAGGGUGACCGGCCACAUUGGGACUGAGAUACGGCCCAGACUCCUACGGGAGGCAGCAGUGGGGAAUAUUGCACAAUGGGCGGAAGCCUGAUGCAGCAAUGCCGCGUGCGGGAUGACGGCCUGCGGGUUGUAAACCGCUUUCGCCUGUGACGAAGCGUGAGUGACGGUAAUGGGUAAAGAAGCACCGGCUAACUACGUG
Molecule: ribosomal RNA, 468 nt
Filed under: uncultured bacterium
Lineage: Bacteria
Description: partial 16S ribosomal RNA
Rfam family: Bacterial small subunit ribosomal RNA
Source: RNAcentral